GCCCGGGUGGUGGAAUGGUAGACACUGGGGAUUUAAAAUCCCUUGCCUGAAAAGGCGUGCGGGUUCAAGUCCCGCCCCGGGCACCA
Molecule: transfer RNA, 86 nt
Filed under: Opitutia bacterium UBA7350
Lineage: Bacteria; Pseudomonadati; Verrucomicrobiota; Opitutia
Also listed under: 1 other name
Description: Opitutae bacterium UBA7350 tRNA-Leu(taa)
Rfam family: tRNA
About the family: Transfer RNA (tRNA) molecules are approximately 80 nucleotides in length. Their secondary structure includes four short double-helical elements and three loops (D, anti-codon, and T loops).
Source: RNAcentral